This 468-nucleotide ribosomal RNA is filed under the name uncultured bacterium. RNAcentral's name for it is "partial 16S ribosomal RNA". It matches the Rfam family "Bacterial small subunit ribosomal RNA", at positions 28 to 507 of the family's 1533-position model. The record is from RNAcentral.
GACGAACGCUGGCGGCGUGCUUAACACAUGCAAGUCGAGCGGAAAGGCCCUGCUUUUGUGGGGUGCUCGAGUGGCGAACGGGUGAGUAACACGUGAGUAACCUGCCCUUGACUUUGGGAUAACUUCAGGAAACUGGGGCUAAUACCGGAUAGGAGCUCCUGCUGCAUGGUGGGGGUUGGAAAGUUUCGGCGGUUGGGGAUGGACUCGCGGCUUAUCAGCUUGUUGGUGGGGUAGUGGCUUACCAAGGCUUUGACGGGUAGCCGGCCUGAGAGGGUGACCGGCCACAUUGGGACUGAGAUACGGCCCAGACUCGUACGGGAGGCAGCAGUGGGGAAUAUUGCACAAUGGGCGGAAGCCUGAGGCAGCAACGCCGCGUGCGGGAUGACGGCCUUCGGGUUGUAAACCGCUUUCGCCUGUGACGAAGCGUGAGUGACGGUAAUGGGUAAAGAAGCACCGGCUAACUACGUG